Manis pentadactyla (Chinese pangolin) is the source of this 1782-nucleotide long non-coding RNA. RefSeq lists it as uncharacterized. NCBI's taxonomy places the organism in Eukaryota, Metazoa, Chordata, Mammalia, Pholidota, Manidae. The record is from RefSeq and is a predicted model, not a curated record. The transcript has 3 exons.
GAUGGUGGUGAGAGAAGACAGGCAGCGGUCAGGGGUGUGGCGGGCUCUGGAAACCAUGUUAAACCAAUUAAGACUCUGUUUUAUGGACAAUUAACUGUAUGACUAAGAAGUAAGAAUGUAAAUGGAUUUGAUUAUAUUUUUACAAGAUUAUUGGGAAUACAGAAUGAGAAAUAAGUCAAAGUUGGAAAGGUGGCUCAUCUGGGUUGGACUAAAAUACUGACCCUGAGGAACAAACAGUGCACCAAUCCCAGAAGUAUUUCAGUGAGAGAACCCACAAGCCUUGGCCACUGACCAGAUAAGGGGGUGAAGAAAAGGGAGGACACAGUUCCCUGGCUUUACUUCUCAAUACCACAACCAAGGUAAGACUCUCAGGCCCAUGGAGAGCAAUCAAAACAGUCCAUAAUACAAUUCCCAUUACUUUGGAUAUUUAAUCAUAACUAAGCCCAGAUUUGGGGUUUUCAAUAUUACAUAAUGCCUUGUGGAAGCUGGAGUGCUCCAACUCUUACUGCUAAAAUAUCCUUUUGGAAAGCAAUUUCUCCUUCAAAAGCCCAGACAUCAGAACGCUGCCUCCAGCUCACAUGACAGGCCAGAGCAUCCGCCUUACCCACACUGCAUUCGCAGUCCACUGUAUGCAAGCGUGAGGUGUCUCCAGCUGUUUUUAAGAAGAGUGGAGGGUGCUUAUCUUAAAUUUUUUGUAACUAGAGAGUAUGAAUUCUUCAUUAAAAAUAAGAUAUACCGGAUGUGGGGAAGGGGUAAAAUGAGUCCAGCUGAGGUCAUCGCAGCAGACUUGUCAAGAUGGUGUUACUCUUGCUCACAGACAACCCGCACCAUAGUAAGUAAACUGUUUUCCUGAUUUCUGUGAACUAUUCUAGCAUAUUAUUGAACCCAAGGAAGGGGUUGUGGGAACCCCAAAUUUAUAACUGAUUGGCCAGAAGUACCAGCGUCUCAGAUUUUUAACUGGCAUCUAAAGUGGAGGUAGUCUUGUGGGACUGAAACUUUAACCUACGGGAUAUGAUACUAACUCCACAAGUAAACAGUAUCACAAUUGAAUUGAAUUGAAUUGAAUUGAAUUGAAUUGAGUUGAAUUAAAUUGAAUUGCCUGCUAUUGUUGGAGAAUUGCUUGGUGAGGAAAACUCACACAUUUGGUGUCAGAAGUGAAGUAUUGAGAGUAGAGGAAAAACAUGAGUUUUUAUUUUUGCAGACUCAUUCCCAUUUAUGUAUUGUCUAUGGCUACUGCUUUUAAACUACAGCAGAAGAGUCGAGAAACUGUGAAAGAAACCACAUGGCCAGCAAGGGUUAAAGAUGGAUUCUUGGCUUAAACAGAUGAGAUUGGAUGAAUUUUCUCAGUCUACAACUGCACCAUCUCCAUCUACCUUGGUGAUCUUGACAGUUUCCCAGUACUUAGAAAACCUUUCUGAUGAGAUCAGUGGUUAUAUUAAUGAACGUCAUUUUUUUUAAUAGUGUAUAAUAAAGUGUAAAGCAUGUCAACAUUGGGAAGAUCUGCAAAGCUCAGUGUUCUUGUAUUUUCCAAUGAGCAUGCUAUCACGAAAUCACACACUAAUAAAGUGCCCACUCACAGAACAAUGGAUUCUAAUGAUUUCCGGUCCCAUACUGCAAGCAACCUUCAAGUAAUGAUCCCUUCUCAAAUUCUGAAAUAUUUAUACUAGAAAACCACAAUUAUCUGACUACACUAUUAAACCGUUCCUCCCUUUUCAACUAUUUAUCAGUGUAAGGCUGAUUUUUUCAUAUACUUCAACCAAAGCAACGUGAAUUUGUUAAAUG